ACCCAAUGUGAACGUUACCAAACUGUUGCCUCGGCGGGAUCUCUGCCCCGGGUGCGUCGCAGCCCCGGACCAAGGCGCCCGCCGGAGGACCAACCAAAACUCUUAUUGUAUACCCCCUCGCGGGUUUUUUUAUAAUCUGAGCCUUCUCGGCGCCUCUCGUAGGCGUUUCGAAAAUGAAUCAAAACUUUCAACAACGGAUCUCUUGGUUCUGGCAUCGAUGAAGAACGCAGCGAAAUGCGAUAAGUAAUGUGAAUUGCAGAAUUCAGUGAAUCAUCGAAUCUUUGAACGCACAUUGCGCCCGCCAGUAUUCUGGCGGGCAUGCCUGUCCGAGCGUCAUUUCAACCCUCGAACCCCUCCGGGGGGUCGGCGUUGGGGAUCGGCCCUCCCUUAGCGGGUGGCCGUCUCCGAAAUACAGUGGCGGUCUCGCCGCAGCCUCUCCUGCGCAGUAGUUUGCACACUCGCAUCGGGAGCGCGGCGCGUCCACAGCCGUUAAACACCCAACUUCUGAAAUGUUGACCUCGGAUCAGGUAGGAAUACCCGCUGAACUUAAGCAUAUCAAUAAGCGGAGAGAA
This 572-nucleotide ribosomal RNA is filed under the name Trichoderma harzianum. Its description in RNAcentral is "eukaryotic LSU rRNA". The stretch from base 183 to 336 matches the Rfam family "5.8S ribosomal RNA". The record is from RNAcentral. Lineage: Eukaryota; Fungi; Ascomycota; Sordariomycetes; Hypocreales; Hypocreaceae.